UGGGGAAUCUUGCGCAAUGGGCGAAAGCCUGACGCAGCCAUGCCGCGUGUAUGAUGAAGGUCUUAGGAUUGUAAAAUACUUUCACCGGGGAAGAUAAUGACGGUACCCGGAGAAGAAGCCCCGGCUAACUUCGUGCCAGCAGCCGCGGUAAUACGAAGGGGGCUAGCGUUGCUCGGAAUUACUGGGCGUAAAGGGCGCGUAGGCGGACAGUUUAGUCAGAGGUGAAAGCCCAGGGCUCAACCUUGGAAUUGCCUUUGAUACUGGCUGUCUUGAGUUCGGGAGAGGUGAGUGGAAUGCCGAGUGUAGAGGUGAAAUUCGUAGAUAUUCGGCGGAACACCAGUGGCGAAGGCGACUCACUGGCCCGAUACUGACGCUGAGGCGCGAAAGCGUGGGGAGCAAACA
This 402-nucleotide ribosomal RNA is filed under the name uncultured bacterium. RNAcentral's name for it is "partial 16S ribosomal RNA". It matches the Rfam family "Bacterial small subunit ribosomal RNA", at positions 355 to 774 of the family's 1533-position model. The record is from RNAcentral. RNAcentral also lists the same sequence under 1 other name.